This 253-nucleotide ribosomal RNA is filed under the name uncultured bacterium. Its description in RNAcentral is "partial 16S ribosomal RNA". It matches the Rfam family "Bacterial small subunit ribosomal RNA", at positions 524 to 776 of the family's 1533-position model. The record is from RNAcentral.
UACGUAGGGGGCAAGCGUUGUCCGGAAUCAUUGGGCGUAAAGAGCGUGUAGGCGGUCCGGUCAGUCGGUUGUAAAAGUCAAGGGCUCAACCCUUGAAUGCCGGCCGAUACUGCCGGGCUAGAGUCCGGAAGAGGUGAGUGGAAUUCCUGGUGUAGCGGUGAAAUGCGCAGAUAUCAGGAGGAACACCGAUGGCGAAGGCAGCUCACUGGGACGGUACUGACGCUGAGACGCGAAAGCGUGGGGAGCAAACAGG